Non-coding RNA from Picea glauca (white spruce), 119 nucleotides. Lineage: Eukaryota; Viridiplantae; Streptophyta; Pinopsida; Pinales; Pinaceae. The record is from Rfam.
UGGUGUGACCAUAACAACGUUAAUGCACCGGAUCCCAUCAGAACUCCACUGUUAAGCGCGAUUGGGCUAGAGUUGUACUCGGAUAGGUGACCUUCCGGGAAGUCUUAGUGUUGCACCCU